CCUACGGGAGGCAGCAGUGAGGAAUAUUGGUCAAUGGGCGCGAGCCUGAACCAGCCAAGUAGCGUGAAGGAUGACUGCCCUACGGGUUGUAAACUUCUUUUAUAAAGGAAUAAAGUGAGGCACGUGUUCCUUUUUGCAUGUACUUUAUGAAUAAGGAUCGGCUAAAUCCGUGCCAGCAGCCGCGGUAAUACGGAGGACCCGAGCGUUAUCCGGAUUUAUUGGGGUUAAAGGGAGCGUAGAGGGGUUGUUAAGUCAGUUGUGAAAUUUUGCGGCUCAACCGUAAAAUUGCAAUUGAUACUGGCAGCCUUGAGUACAGUAGAGGUAGGCGGAAUUCGUGGUGUAGCGGUGAAAUGCAUAGAUAUCACGAAGAACUCCGAUUGCGAAGGCAGCUUGCUAAGCUGCCACUGACAUUGAUGCUCGAAGGUGUGGGUAUCAAACAGGAGUAGAUACCCUUGUAGUC
RNAcentral lists this ribosomal RNA (460 nucleotides) under uncultured bacterium. Its description in RNAcentral is "partial 16S ribosomal RNA". It matches the Rfam family "Bacterial small subunit ribosomal RNA", at positions 338 to 795 of the family's 1533-position model. The record is from RNAcentral.